ACAGAGGUUAUGUUUGCCUGGGAAUAUAUGCUAGAUGGUAUGAAAUGCAUACAUAAUUCUACUGAGUCUUCUUGGAAAGCAAUAUCGUUACAUGCACAUCAUGUACAGCAUGUCCUGCAAUUACCAGAACCAAACUGGGACAAGAACGAACUGUCUAAUAACAAUUUCACUAAACAUGCAGUAGAAGAGAACAGAAGUACAGUUGAUCAAUGUGUGCAGAAGGCAAGGGAACCCGUGUUGGAAAUCAGUACAUUAUAUAGGUGCCAACAUUUUAAUCUUCAGUAUCUUUGUCUAGGUACAGAAGUCAACAUAAACAUCACUCAUUGCUGUUUCUCCCAUGGUGAAUCAUCUUGUAACAAAGCCUUCUCCAUAGUUCUCAGUGUUCCUCCCCUAUACCUUGCUACUUCCCUACUCAUGUUAGUAUACAAUCCCACUUUGGCUUCUCCAGCAUGUCUCUGAUUUCUCUAGUAGCUGCUUAUUCAAAUUUCUACCUUUCACACUCCCAGUUAAAUUCUAUUUCCCCUUAUAUCAUCCACUCUUCUUACAGUGUUUAUGCCUUCAUACUAUGUCUAAUCAACACUGGGUAUAUAUUAUAUUAAGGACAGCAUUAGUGUCAAAAUAAUGUACAAUGCAUCUCAGUUUCUCUAAUUCAGUAAACCCUUGAAUUAACAGACCUCAAUUUGAUGGAUUUCAGUUUUAAUGGAAACUGUCUGGCAUUGUCAGAUUUCUUCUGGAUGCAAGGAAUUAGUGGAUACUUUUGGUUCUAACUGACUUUGCCCACUGAAACCAAAAAAGUCUGCUAAUGACCAUUGUAGUAGAUUGUAAUCUUAGACUCAACCAUACAUCAUGGCAACAUAAACUUUUGUAUAAACUGUAACAAGUAUGUGGAAAUAAUUAGAAUUUUUUUGCACUUAA
Long non-coding RNA from Zootermopsis nevadensis, 915 nucleotides. RefSeq lists it as uncharacterized. Lineage: Eukaryota; Metazoa; Arthropoda; Insecta; Blattodea; Termopsidae. The record is from RefSeq and is a predicted model, not a curated record.